RNAcentral lists this ribosomal RNA (563 nucleotides) under Streptomyces sp. 387F03. RNAcentral's name for it is "bacterial SSU rRNA". It matches the Rfam family "Bacterial small subunit ribosomal RNA", at positions 93 to 671 of the family's 1533-position model. Lineage: Bacteria; Bacillati; Actinomycetota; Actinomycetes; Kitasatosporales; Streptomycetaceae. The record is from RNAcentral.
UAGUGGCGAACGGGUGAGUAACACGUGGGCAAUCUGCCCUUCACUCUGGGACAAGCCCUGGAAACGGGGUCUAAUACCGGAUAUGAGCCGGGACCGCAUGGUCCUGGCUGUAAAGCUCCGGCGGUGAAGGAUGAGCCCGCGGCCUAUCAGCUUGUUGGUGAGGUAAUGGCUCACCAAGGCGACGACGGGUAGCCGGCCUGAGAGGGCGACCGGCCACACUGGGACUGAGACACGGCCCAGACUCCUACGGGAGGCAGCAGUGGGGAAUAUUGCACAAUGGGCGAAAGCCUGAUGCAGCGACGCCGCGUGAGGGAUGACGGCCUUCGGGUUGUAAACCUCUUUCAGCAGGGAAGAAGCGAGAGUGACGGUACCUGCAGAAGAAGCGCCGGCUAACUACGUGCCAGCAGCCGCGGUAAUACGUAGGGCGCAAGCGUUGUCCGGAAUUAUUGGGCGUAAAGAGCUCGUAGGCGGCUUGUCACGUCGAUUGUGAAAGCCCGAGGCUUAACCUCGGUCUGCAGUCGAUACGGGCUAGCUAGAGUGUGGUAGGGGAGAUCGGAAUUCCU